UACGUAGGGUGCAAGCGUUGUCCGGAAUUAUUGGGCGUAAAGAGCUUGUAGGCGGUUUGUUGCGUCUGCUGUGAAAUUUCGGGGCUCAACCCCGAACUUGCAGUGGGUACGGGCAGACUAGAGUGUGGUAGGGGAGACUGGAAUUCCUGGUGUAGCGGUGAAAUGCGCAGAUAUCAGGAGGAACACCGAUGGCGAAGGCAGGUCUCUGGGCCGCUACUGACGCUGAGAAGCGAAAGCAUGGGGAGCGAACAGG
RNAcentral lists this ribosomal RNA (253 nucleotides) under uncultured bacterium. Its description in RNAcentral is "partial 16S ribosomal RNA". It matches the Rfam family "Bacterial small subunit ribosomal RNA", at positions 524 to 776 of the family's 1533-position model. The record is from RNAcentral.